UAAUGUAUUUAUUUAGUUAUUUGAGUAGUAUUAGUUAUGAUCUUGAAACUUAAAAAAUUUGGCGGUAUUUUAAUCUAUUCAGAGGAACCUGUAUAUUAAUUGAUAUUCCACGUUGAAUCUUACUUAAAUUUGUUUUAGUUUAUAUAUCGUCGUUAUAAGAAUAUUUUAAAAAAAUUAAUAAUUUUCUUUAAUUUUUAUAAAAAUUUAUAUCAGAUAAAGGUGUAGCUUAUAUUUAAGUUUUAUUAUGGGUUACAAUAAAUUAAUUUAUAUGAAUAUAAAAUUGAAAUAUUUUAUUGAAAGUGGAUUUGAUAGUAAAAUAAUAUAGAUAAAUUAUUUGAUUUUAGUUAUAAAAUAUG
This 356-nucleotide ribosomal RNA is filed under the name Jassidophaga sp. Jeff Skevington 17382. RNAcentral's name for it is "partial 12S ribosomal RNA". Lineage: Eukaryota; Metazoa; Arthropoda; Insecta; Diptera; Pipunculidae. The record is from RNAcentral.